AGCCUGUGAUAUAAUAGCUUUUUCAAGGAGUUUUUUAUUGAGGCUCUUAGUGGUUCUCACUUAGCCAAUUCUUGAAUAGGAGGGAUAACCUCCGAAAGAAAAAGUGAUAAC
This 111-nucleotide non-coding RNA is filed under the name unclassified sequences. RNAcentral describes it as "drum RNA". It matches the Rfam family "drum RNA". From Rfam's summary of the family: Firmicutes, Bacteroidetes (1 example), Proteobacteria (2 examples), Spirochaetes (2 examples). Terminator (Clostridia) The record is from Rfam by way of RNAcentral.